CCGAAGUUUCCCUCAGGAUAGCUGGUGCAUUUAGAAAUUAUGUAAAAUAAUCUUAUCUGGUAAAGCGAAUGAUUAGAGGCCUUAGGGUCGAAACGACCUUACCCUAUUCUCCAACUUUAAAUGGGUAAGAGCCACACCUUUCUUGGUAUGAAGGUGUGGUUGUGAUAUAAUGUGCCGAGUGGGCCACUUUUGGUAAGCAAAACUGGCGCUGUGGGAUGAACCAAACGUAAUGUUACGGUGCCUAUGAAUGCCAAAAACUAGUAUUCGAGCUGUAUAUAUUUUGUCCGUAUCUAGGAACUUUUAUUUAAAAAAUGGAAGAAGUAAG
RNAcentral lists this non-coding RNA (325 nucleotides) under Musca domestica (house fly). RNAcentral describes it as "Eukaryotic large subunit ribosomal RNA". It matches the Rfam family "Eukaryotic large subunit ribosomal RNA", at positions 961 to 1333 of the family's 3401-position model. The record is from Rfam by way of RNAcentral. Lineage: Eukaryota; Metazoa; Arthropoda; Insecta; Diptera; Muscidae.